UGUCACUGCUGUUUGUUCCUGCCAGCGGCUAGCCACCAUCCUGUGAGGAAGCCCAGAGCACAUGAAGAGACCACCUGCACAUGUUCAGAUCCACUGCCCCAGCUAAGAUCUCCGCUGACAGCCAGACCAAUCACCAAUCUUAGGAGCUGGCGAGCCUUCAGAUGGUCCAACCUUUGAGGCCCCCCAGAGGAGCCAGGUGGAGCAUAGAUGAGCCAUCCAUGUGGAUCCCUCCACCAAAUGGAAGAUUUAGGAGCAAAAUAAACAAUGUUGUCAUUGCUUUCACCCACGAA
This 290-nucleotide long non-coding RNA is filed under the name Pan troglodytes (chimpanzee). RNAcentral's name for it is "long non-coding RNA NONPTRT015784". The record is from RNAcentral. Lineage: Eukaryota; Metazoa; Chordata; Mammalia; Primates; Hominidae.